This 106-nucleotide small nucleolar RNA is filed under the name Ananas comosus (pineapple). RNAcentral's name for it is "Small nucleolar RNA Z279/snoR105/snoR108". It matches the Rfam family "Small nucleolar RNA Z279/snoR105/snoR108". Rfam says of the family: This family includes the plant snoRNAs known as Z279, snoR105 and snoR108. All three are members of the C/D class of snoRNA which contain the C (UGAUGA) and D (CUGA) box motifs. Lineage: Eukaryota; Viridiplantae; Streptophyta; Magnoliopsida; Poales; Bromeliaceae. The record is from Rfam by way of RNAcentral.
GGGAUGUGAUGAGCGGUAACAGCUCGCAUUCUGCGAGAGGGGCACCCGCCCCCAUAAGCCUGUUACGACAAACAGGGGCGCUCUCGUAAUUUACCAAUCUGAUCCC